UGAGUUGGGAUCAUUUGAGCAGGGGGGAGAUGCUGGGAUUCGGGUAAGGAAGCAAGGCUGGAUUUUUAGGACUCGGCUCUAUCUUGGUUUCGGGCUAAAGAAAGGGACUUAGAUUGGUUGAAGCUAACACAGGGGAGGAUGACAUGGACACUGCAUGCAUUAGACUCGACCAAUAAAAAGAAAAUCAAUCAAACUUGAAUAAUUUAUUUAAAAUGAAAUGAGGAAGAAAAUACAUUUUUUUAGUUAAAUUUAUAAAAUAUGUGAAUUAAAAUAAUGAUAAGUGCUAUGAAUAAGAUAUUAAUUUGUACAUUAUUUAGCACUUAUCAAUAGGGCCUUCACUUCUGGACCAUUGGAUCGCUUCCUGGAUGAAGGAUCUGGUCCACUAGUUGGCGCCUUCAUCUGGACCAUUGGAUGGCUUUCUGGAUGAAGGAUCUGGUCCACUGGUUAGCGCCUGAAUCUGGACCACUGGAUGGCUCUCUGGAUGAAAGAUCUGGAACGUUGCUCAGCGCCUGAAUCUGGACCAUCGGUGAUGGCAUCUUGCUUCUAGACCAUUGGAUGGCACCCUGGAUGAUGAUGCCCUGAUCUGGACCAUUAGAUGGCGCCUAGAUCUGGACCAUUGGCUUUGGUUCACUGCAUUUGGGCCCUUUGAUCAUCAGGAUUUAAGAGGAAGAUGUGAGAAAGAAGUUGAUACACCCUUCUCCUUAGCACCCCAUCAUGAUGGGAUGCAUCUCUUGGCACAUGCCUCAUCAUGAUGAGGUGUGUGGAUGGGAUGCAUCCCUUUAUGAUGCAUCCCUCCGUCUCUUAUAAAUAAGGAGGUGUCUUGGGGUUCUAAAGAUCAUCCAAGAAAAAGCCUCUCCUUCUCUCUCCCUUAUCCCUUCUUUCUUACAAGCCUCUCUCUUUUGUCCUAACCCAAGACAAGAGGGUCUUCUUUAGGACA
RNAcentral lists this long non-coding RNA (937 nucleotides) under Phoenix dactylifera (date palm). Its description in RNAcentral is "long non-coding RNA (PDAC_LNC014134)". The record is from RNAcentral. Lineage: Eukaryota; Viridiplantae; Streptophyta; Magnoliopsida; Arecales; Arecaceae.